Molecule: small nucleolar RNA, 131 nt
Filed under: Meleagris gallopavo (turkey)
Lineage: Eukaryota; Metazoa; Chordata; Aves; Galliformes; Phasianidae
Description: Small nucleolar RNA SNORA57 (ENSMGAG00000021169.1)
Rfam family: Small nucleolar RNA SNORA57
About the family: U99 belongs to the H/ACA class of snoRNAs which are thought to guide the sites of modification of uridines to pseudouridines, the target for this family is unknown.
Source: Rfam by way of RNAcentral
CCUCCGGUUCUUGGCAGGCCCGGCUCGCCGUGCCCGGCUCUGUAUGGGCGGAGGAAGAGCAGCAACCGGAGCGGCGUCUUCGGUACCCGCGGCCCAUCCGCGGGGUUCUGCCCUCCCGCGCCGGGACACGC